GGAUUUUUAAACAUUUUUUAUUGAAUGUAUAUUAAAUUAAAGGAUUAAAUUAAAUAUAUAUAUACACACACACACAAAUUAUUACAUUGAAUGAACAUUUUAUAUUGAAUUGAAUGUGUAUAAAACAGGCCUAGAACCGGUCUGUGUUAGCGUUGGCAGUAGCGGGCGCCCGAUGUUUUAGUCCCGCUAUGCAAAUCAAGAUUUUCGUGUUCAUUGACUGUGAAAAGAAUCAAUUUCUAAAAAAAUGAAUAAUGAUAAUAAUUUUGAAUUUGCAUAGCGGGACUAAAUUGUCGGGCUGGCUACGCCACUGCGUUGGUACUGAUAAUAACACCAGAAAGCAGCGUAUUGAAAUGAAUUCAACCAAGGCGUAGAAAAACACGGGCGAGGAAACGCGCGGUAAUCGCGCUGAUCUAUGUGUGAUGCGGCUGGAGACUGGCGAAAGCGCGCGUUUUGCGAGAAAUACAAAAAGAACGGCACAAAAAUGGCAACAAAAAGAUUUGCCGAAGACUACGAAAUAACAAACGAAAAUAUAGGUAAGUUUUAAAUUAUUACAUAAUUAUUUAACGUAAUUUGAAAGAAACACUACUAUACUUCAGCUUUACUUAAUUAAAAUAAACAAAAAGCGCAUUGCGUUGUAAAAUGUCAAUGUUUUAAGAAAUGUUUUGAUUUUUGUUCCCUUCAAAAUUUGUUAUUUUUGCGCACAAAGUCAGGUUAAAAUACGAGUUUUUUAACGCUCUAGGUAGUCCUAGGUGAAUUUGAUAGCACAAAAAGUUUCCCAAAUUAACAUACUUGAGAAUAAUUAAAAUUAAGAGUCGGACUUUUUUUGCUAUAACUUUUUCCCUGAACAUAGUGCUGUUCAUCAUUUGUAUCGCAAGGAGAAGCAACGCAAGUUAACACGAUAUUUGAUUUUAGAUACAAAUAACAUUCCCCAAGCCGUCAAAGACAUAAUUAGUUCAAAAACAAUUAGUUUCAAAAACAAUAUAUAGAUCAUGUCAGCUCGAUAAAGUACAGCGUAUACGGCCAUUUUAGAGGCCAUGUUUACGUUUUGAAAAAGAACCGCGGAAAAAUUGUAUUUUUGCAUGUAGUUUUUUUCCUAGGUGUGAAACAUCCCCUAAAAAAUCGUACAAACUGAAAUCAAGUCAUAAUAUAUCAGAAAUUUUUUAAAAGAAGACAGACUUUUUC
Non-coding RNA from Paramuricea clavata, 1182 nucleotides. NCBI's taxonomy places the organism in Eukaryota, Metazoa, Cnidaria, Anthozoa, Malacalcyonacea, Plexauridae. The record is from the annotation of a GenBank genome assembly.